This 45-nucleotide non-coding RNA is filed under the name Schistosoma mansoni. Lineage: Eukaryota; Metazoa; Platyhelminthes; Trematoda; Strigeidida; Schistosomatidae. The record is from RNAcentral.
ACCUAGCUGACGAGUCCCAAAUAAGACGAAACGUAUAUCCUAGAU